This 301-nucleotide ribosomal RNA is filed under the name uncultured bacterium. Its description in RNAcentral is "partial 16S ribosomal RNA". It matches the Rfam family "Bacterial small subunit ribosomal RNA", at positions 509 to 807 of the family's 1533-position model. The record is from RNAcentral.
CAGUCGCCGCGGUAAAACGGAGGGUGCAAGCGUUAAUCGGAAUUACUGGGCGUAAAGCGUGCGUAGGUGGUGGUUUAAGUCCGUUGUGAAAGCCCUGGGCUCAACCUGGGAAUUGCAGUGGAUACUGGGUCACUAGAGUGUGGUAGAGGAUAGUGGAAUUUCCGGUGUAGCAGUGAAAUGCGUAGAGAUCGGAAGGAACAUCUGUGGCGAAGGCGACUAUCUGGGCCAACACUGACACUGAGGCACGAAAGCGUGGGGAGCAAACAGGAUUAGAUACCCCAGUAGUCCCUGUCUCUUAUAC